GAUGAACGCUGGCGGCGUGCCUAAUACAUGCAAGUCGAGCGAACGGACGAGAAGCUUGCUUCUCUGAUGUUAGCGGCGGACGGGUGAGUAACACGUGGAUAACCUACCUAUAAGACUGGGAUAACUUCGGGGAACCGGAGCUAAUACCGGAUGAUAUUUUGAACCGCAUGGUUCAAAAGUGAAAGACGGUCUUGCUGUCACUUAUAGAUGGAUCCGCGCUGCAUUAGCUAGUUGGUAAGGUAACGGCUUACCAAGGCAACGAUGCAUAGCCGACCUGAGAGGGGGAUCGGCCACACUGGAACUGAGACACGGUCCAGACUCCUACGGGAGGCAGCAGUAGGGAAUCUUCCGCAAUGGGCGAAAGCCUGACGGAGCAACGCCGCGUGAGUGAUGAAGGUCUUCGGAUCGUAAAACUCUGUUAUUAGGGAAGAACAUAUGUGUAAGUAACUGUGCACAUCUUGACGGUACCUAAUCAGAAAGCCACGGCUAACUACGUG
This 497-nucleotide ribosomal RNA is filed under the name uncultured bacterium. RNAcentral's name for it is "partial 16S ribosomal RNA". It matches the Rfam family "Bacterial small subunit ribosomal RNA", at positions 28 to 507 of the family's 1533-position model. The record is from RNAcentral.